AAUGUGUAUGAUCCUUGAAUUUCUUUUUCAGUUAUGCUAUCACAGCCAUUUUCCUUCAUUUCAAGGGGUAUGCCUUGAGCUUUCAUGCUCAUCUCCACCAUGUCCUCUCAUGACAUGUAAGAAUUUUAACUAUGAGGUUCAGAGGGAAGUUUUAAUAUUAAAUAGCUAAGAAAAAUUUUAAAGAUAGUUCCUGUCCACAUGCCUGCAUGGUCUUUGCAUGUCCUUCAUGGAACAUUCAAAGUAUGCAGACUCCUCUAUGGGUUUGGCUCUGGCUCACUCAUGAGAACAGUCAUUCACUCUUCUCAAGGCUAUAUAACUUCCUUCAGGGAUCUGGCCAGUCCUUGUGUGGUGAUGAAGGAUCCUUGAGGGGAUCACUAGGUCAAGCAGGUUUUUAGGAUGGAGUUUUCUUUGCUCCAACUUGUAUUUAAAGAGCCCCACUGGGAAUAAGAUCUCAGAGGUCUCACCUGUGGAGAAGAUGCUCUGUCUGGGACUUUCCAAUCAGGACCCUGAAAAGUUGCCCCAGGACUCCCCUGCUACAUGGUUUCAGGUGUUGGUGUCUUCUCAUUCUGGUAAUGUAGUUUCUUCUCUUUCUUUCUUGCCUAUCAGUUUUACUUUUUCUCUUUCUUCCAUAUUAUUACUAAAAGAAACAUUACCCCAUGUAAAGUGUCUUUGUUGCCUAUUAGAUUGUAUCUAGAAAUUCAGCAUCUGUACACAUGUGUAAUGCUUUAACCUUGCAAGUACAUGUAUGUGUUUUAAUUAGUAAUUACACCUUUCAACUGAAAUAAUUUUCACUGAUAUUAUGGUAUAAAUUGAGAAUAGUUUCUUGCCUUUGAAUACAUAGUGCAUUAUUAAUAGCUGUAGUCACCCUUCUAUGUAAUUUCCCCUCUCCACUAUCUGGGCUUGUGUAUGUCUAUGUGACCUUUUUUUUUUUUUUUUUCCC
Molecule: long non-coding RNA, 940 nt
Filed under: Marmota monax (woodchuck)
Lineage: Eukaryota; Metazoa; Chordata; Mammalia; Rodentia; Sciuridae
Source: RNAcentral